This 446-nucleotide ribosomal RNA is filed under the name uncultured bacterium. Its description in RNAcentral is "SSU rRNA". It matches the Rfam family "Bacterial small subunit ribosomal RNA", at positions 26 to 518 of the family's 1533-position model. The record is from RNAcentral.
AGAACGAACGCUGGCGGCAGGCCUCAAACAUGCAAGUCUAGGGGGGUGUAGCAAUACAUCACCGGCGGACGGGUGCGUAACGCGUGGGAAUAUACCUAUUGGUUCGGAACAACUGAGGGAAACUUCAGCUAAUACCGGAUGAGCCCUAACGGGGAAAGAUUUCUCGCCAAUAGAUUAGCCCGCGUCCGAUUAGCUAGUUGGUGGGGUAAAAGCCUACCAAGGCAACGAUCGGUAGCUGUUCUGAGAGGAAGAUCAGCCACACUGGGACUGAGACACGGCCCAGACUCCUACGGGAGGCAGCAGUUGGGAAUCUUGGACAUGGGGGAACCCUGAUCCAGCCAUGCCGCGUGAGUGAUGAAGGCCUUCGGGUUGUAAACUCUUUCGGACGGGGACGAUAAUGACGGUACCCGUAGAGAAGCUCCGGCUAACUUCGCGCCAGCAGCCGC